This 396-nucleotide ribosomal RNA is filed under the name uncultured bacterium. RNAcentral's name for it is "partial 16S ribosomal RNA". It matches the Rfam family "Bacterial small subunit ribosomal RNA", at positions 360 to 774 of the family's 1533-position model. The record is from RNAcentral.
AAUAUUGCACAAUGGGGGAAACCCUGAUUCAGCGACGCCGCGUGAGCGAAGAAGACCUUCGGGUCGUAAAGCUCUGUCCUAAGGGAAGAAACGGACGGUACCUUAGGAGGAAGCCCCGGCUAACUACGGGCCAUCAGCCGCGGUAAUACGUAGGGGGCAAGCGUUAUCCGGAUUCAUUGGGCGUAAAGGGUGCGUAGGCGGCCCUAUAGGUCAGAGGUCAAAGGCUACGGCUCAACCGUAGUAAGCCUUUGAAACUGUAGGGCUUGAGUGCAGGAGAGGAGAGUGGAAUUCCUAGUGUAGCGGUGAAAUGCGUAGAUAUUAGGAGGAACACCAGUGGCGAAGGCGACUUUCUGGACUGUAACUGACGCUGAGGUACGAAAGCGUGGGUAGCGAACA